CCAUUUGUGCCGGUAGGCUUACACUUUCUCUUUGCGGGUUAUCCUCAGGCGAGAGCGAAUCCAAACUUUCACCGUCCGUGUCUACUGCACGUCCGGUAGGCAUGCUCUGGACUGGAGCUAAAUCGCACCAUACUUCUACAACCGUUUACAGAACGUUUGUGCGUUAUACCGGUACUUCCGUAAAUGGAGCAUGUGAUGUCACUCUCUUACUCACGCUCCGUGCAGCUCCGAGGAAAGAAAAGGGGGUAAAAAAAAAAAUCCUCUCCGUGUCUCCUUUCCAGCCGAUGUCCGCAGAUCGCUAGCCCGCCUGGCUGUAGCCAGUUAUGAACACGCGAACCUGAAUGACGUUAACGUCAGUGAAGGUUCCGGACUGCCGGGGACAUCGCUCACCUUCCGACAGUACCGGGCCAGCAGCAGACCCAGCAUACAGUCACACUCAGUCAGGAUGGGAGAAGCAGCAGAGUUACCACCUCUUCAUUUUGAAGUUUUUCCAGCAUUUGGUACACUCUCCCUUUAAGGUGCUAGCCUUGUCCACGUUGGGAACCGCCCGGAGGCUAUGUUCGUUUUUUUUGGUAUUCCUGUGCCCUCCCGCCUUUUCGAGAAAACAUGGCCGCGAAGCAUAUGGAGAGCGAGGCCGGGGUGAUCCUCGCAGAGUAAAUCCUGGGGCUUUCAUGUAAGCCGUUUGGAGGGGUGCAAACCAUAUAGGGAGAGACGCGAGAUACUGAGAUAUCGCAGUCGGCAAGAAGCAGGCGGCACGGCAGUCGUUGCGCUCGCAGGGAGAAAACCGAUGAAAUGGUGCAGCUUUAACAGCGGCUCAGACGGCUGGAGCAGGAGGUGGCAGAGCACAGACAAAGUUCCUCUGCGCCACAGGGAUCGGGAUCCGGAUCGCACAAGCAGCAGUUCUCUGGACAGCUGUUUCGGAAAGUGAACGACAUGGUGAUGGAAACAUGCCUGAAUUGUGGCAUGCCCAAGGCAUUCACCGUGUCACAGUUGAGGAGCGGCGUGUUGACGUGUAUGGAGAGGGGCCUGCCAGAGGACCGGCGGCGGCUGGUGUCGCACAUGAUGUGUCACAGCGUGGAGACUGCCGACCGCUUUUAUGUCGCGGAACCUGAGCUCGCCGAGCUGCACGUCGGCUGAGAAUGCCUCCGUCAGGCCCUGGGCCUCAGCAAGGUUCCACAGCAUUCUGGAGGUGACACUGCUCAGACGGUGGGAGCCCUGGGGGCACAUGGCGCACAGCCGCUGUAUUAGGUGGUGGUCCUCGACCAGCUGCAGGAGGAGCAUCUGCUGCAGCAGUUGGAGCAGUUGAGGCUGCUGCAGCUGGAGGAUGAGCUGCAGCUGGAGGAUGAGCUGCAGCUGGAGGAUGAGCUGCAGCUGGAGGAUGAGCUGCAGCUGGAGGAUGAGCUGGAGCAGCGGCAGCUAGAGUCGUUGGAGUCAGUCUGAAGUAAGUUUCACCACUUAAUUAUUUUGGUAAUUGAGGCAUUGAUAAUUUGUGUGAACAGAAAUUUAUAUACAUGUCUGAAACUGAAAUCUCUCUUUUUCUGACAGUUCCCCAGUUUUCUGCCAAAAGUAGUGCCAUAUGCUUGGGUAAUGCCAAGGAAUCCGAUUUUAUCUUUUUAAAUAUGUAAUUUAUGUCUCUGUGGUAAUGGGCAGUGAUCAAAAAAAUGUCAUUUUUUUUAAAUAUCACAGAAGGCACUCGUCCGACGCAAGCUGACAUAUCCUGACACCUUAAAGGAUAUGGUUUGCUUCGAGUUCAGGGAUCAUUGGCAGGAAUGACCAAUAAGAACAUAUAUGAUUAGUAUGCUGUUAGUAUGCAGUCAGUUACUGCCACCGAUGUAUUAGAGACAUGAAUAUAAAAUAUAAAAAACAGAAUACUGUCUUUUUGAGAUCAGCAGAGUCUUGGCCCAGUCUCCCAUUCUCCCCCAGCACUGCAAAGACCUCCGAUUGACAAUCGACAAUGUCCAAGGCUUAUUAAAGCAAAUGCAACAGUAUACAUUUAAGAUGGUAGUGGUUACUACUACUACUACCUCUUUACUAUUGUGUUUGCUGUUGCUGAUAUAUGCUUGUUUUCUGCUUGUCUACAUUUCAGACCAUGAAUCGUUCCUCAAGAAACAGCAGGAGGAUAUCAGUCCUUUUGAAAGCCCAUCAUUUUUUCCCCCCCCAUUUUGUAUUUAUUUUGUCUCCUUUAAGUAUUUAUAUAAUAUAUAUAUUUUAUAUAUGGAUAUUUUUCUUUUUCAUUUCACAGCUGCUGUGUUUUUAUUUGUGGUACCGUAAAAGUCACUUUGAGGUUUUAAGUUACAAAGGAAAAAAUGUAAGUGACAAAGUAUAGCUGGUGAAAUUGGAUGGUGAUGGCAAUUGUCAAAAUUAUGGGUGUAUGUCUUGAUAUUCCAGACGACGAAGAAGGUAUCCACACAUCCUAGCCCGUCAAUUUUGGUCUAUUUGAAAAAAAUAUUCCUAAUAGUGUACAGCAGACAUGUAAGUGAUUAUUUUUAUCAGCUAUACUUCAAUGGUGAUGGUGAUUGUCAAAAUUAUGGGUGUAUGUCUUGAUAUUUCAGCUGAUGAUGAUGUCCCCACAUCAGUAAACACUGAAAACAAUUUGCUUGCAGCAGUACUAAUCUUGCACUCUUGUGGUUCUCCUCACUGAUCAUUACUGCAGCAGUGAGAAGGGGACGGUGUCCUCUUGUAAUUUUUUUGUAUACUUUUUUUUAUUUCUGAAGACUUUUAUUUAGUUAAAUUAAAAAAAACUUUUUUACAAAUUGCCUAGAAAAGAUGCAAACAAAAAAAAUGUGGCAAAAAUAAAAUGUUUUGUGCACAAUCACUGUCAAAGUUCUUCAUAUUAUCUCCUGUAUGAGCUACUGUCCAUGGGUCAUAGUAAGUAUGCAAACCGUACAGGCUAGGGGUGUGAAAUUUGGCAUGCUCAAACUACAUGUAUAUAUGAACAACUGUGCAAUGUCUCAUGAGCCUAAACCUUACAGAACAGGUUUGGUGGACCUGUGACUUUAAGUCUUUAAUGCACAUGAAGGGGAAAGGGGGCAAGGUAACAGGGGGUCUCGUGGCUGACCCCUGCAGGCACCGUGAAGUAGCUCCCAUGAAGGCUUCACAACCAAACUCCUGCUAUAACUCUUGUAAAGUACUCUUACCAUUUGUAACAGUAUUUUGUAAUUCACUGAUUAACAAUGUGUGUCGUUGUUUAACCCCAUGUUUUAAUUAAAAAACAUUGCUGGCACCAGCUCA
Molecule: non-coding RNA, 3231 nt
Organism: Paramormyrops kingsleyae
Lineage: Eukaryota; Metazoa; Chordata; Actinopteri; Osteoglossiformes; Mormyridae
Source: RefSeq, a predicted model, not a curated record